Cyprinodon variegatus (sheepshead minnow) is the source of this 461-nucleotide long non-coding RNA. RefSeq lists it as uncharacterized. NCBI's taxonomy places the organism in Eukaryota, Metazoa, Chordata, Actinopteri, Cyprinodontiformes, Cyprinodontidae. The record is from RefSeq and is a predicted model, not a curated record. The transcript is spliced from 3 exons.
GGACGUACUCUGCUGUUGCUAACGAGAUCCCGGUGUGGCUGAGGUGUGCGUGCGCGUAGUGUGACAGAGUGAAAGGAUGGACUCUGCGUUGGGUAACUGGAGAUGUGCUCUCACUCAGCUGGCUCUGUGGAAAACGGGAUCAGCACAAAACACAACCUUCCUGUUGCUCACCACAAGAAUGAAAGGUAUGUCCCCGACUCAGAGAUGUAGGAAACCAUCCCACAAACAUCUGUCCGACUCCGCUCUCUGGACGACCAUCCGGUGGACCGUCACCAGGACGCAAACCCACUGGGACCUCUCUCUGAGGGAGUGCUGACAGAACGCCAGAAGCGGCUCUAUCUGUCAUCGUGAAAACUGCAGGAGAUGAGCACCAGCCUCCUGCGAUCCUGGCGGAUAAGUUGCAAAAGAUGGACGGAAACUGAAUGCCAAAAUUUGAUGAAAAAUAGCUGUUUUUCUCUAAA